Molecule: long non-coding RNA, 256 nt
Filed under: Struthio camelus australis
Lineage: Eukaryota; Metazoa; Chordata; Aves; Struthioniformes; Struthionidae
Description: lncRNA (ENSSCUG00000002010.1)
Source: RNAcentral
UUCUGACCCAGGAGAUACAUCGCUAACAGAUUACGAAUCGAAGAUGAAGAUCCACACCUUGACUGCAGCUGCUUCAAGAUAUAUGCGUCUGCAGUUCAUCUAAGCAUGCUGGAAAGGACAUAUUGACUGGAAGGAGUACAUGAAAUACUGAAAGUGCAAAAAAGAUAGACAUCUUCUGAGGGAUACAAAGACUAAACCCGAGUAAGAAGAUUCUUGGAUUGAAGCAAUUGUGAGAAAUUGCACAAAACCCCUUAAG